This is a long non-coding RNA of Daktulosphaira vitifoliae (grape phylloxera), 613 nucleotides long. RefSeq lists it as uncharacterized. The transcript has 2 exons. The record is from RefSeq and is a predicted model, not a curated record. Lineage: Eukaryota; Metazoa; Arthropoda; Insecta; Hemiptera; Phylloxeridae.
CUCUUCAACGUAGGGAGUAAAUAUUAACAGAAGGUCGAUUAUUGAGUUGGGCUUGUACAACUGACAAAAUGACGUAAUGCAAACUAAUAACCCGUGACUAUGGCCAGAUGGGCCAAUUUAUGAUCGCCACCAAGCCGCUGAGUGUGUGUGCGUGCCCGUGCAAUACUGAAUUACAAUCUACUAACUAGGGUGACAUCAGGUAGAUGACUAUGGCAGUUACAGUGCAAGGAGUCCUGUGAAAAAGUCCAUCAGGGAAUAUGAAAAAGAGCAUAAUAAAACCGUAAGAAUAUGUCCCCAGUCGGUCAUAUUCUAUAAUACUCAAGCCAAUAACCGUUUAAAACUGCGAAGUGUUUCCCGUUUUGCAUUACAUAUAACAACAAGUUAUGAUUUUAAAAAUACCAACAUAUUUUGCAUUUUAGAAAAAAUAGAUUAUACAAAUUGAAGAAUAACUAGUUUGUCGCUUUUUAACGUCAUUGAAUAGUAAGUUAUAAUGCUUGAUAGAAGCUAAUAAAAUGACAUGGAAUAUCAUAAACAACAAUAACAGUUAUUUUUGUUAAUAGUGCUAUGCUAAUAGUUACUAUAAGCAUAGCAAAUACUUUCAUGUUAAAUAAAG